GUUCUUUCUAAGGAGUAAAUAUAUUUCUAGAUUAUUAUCAAGAUUCAAUCAAUUGCUUCAAGUUUUACAAUUCAAGACUAAGAAGUCGUUUAUGAAAUGAUUGUAUAAAAUAAUUGAGUGGUGAUGAAUUAAUGCUAUGACCUCAUUAUCUCUUCUGCGAGUUCCCGAAGCUUCAAAAUUUCCCAGAAGUUCAUUAGGUCCAUCCAACAUAAGCAUUCCUUCUUAUAGUGGCAAAGGCAAUGUUCAAAGCCACCCUACUCCAUUUUCUGCAGUCAAUAGUUGUAGGCCGCUGGGUCUCAUGGGCCAAUUGCAUGCAAGCAACAUUCCAAUUGAAUAUUGAUUGGCAAAGACAAGCGUUCAAAAAGGUUGGAAAAUGUAGAAAAAUGAACUAAAAUGAGGCUCAAACGCAAGCAUAUGUGUGGCCCAGAGAAGAAAGCGUGUCACAGGAAUAUAUUACUGUAGCAAAAUCGGAUAAGUUGAAUACAAUGUGAAAAGUUAUGUGACAUAAAUGAAUAGUAGAAUCAAAACCCCUCUUUUAAGAGGUAGUAGAUAAUGCAAUCACAUUAUCUAGUCAAAUUGUUGACUUCAUGGAUUAAUCCAUUAGGCCAGUUUGGUGCAUCCUGCAUAUUCUUCCACCAACUAAUGAAUACUAAAUGCUAUAUAUGAAAUUGUGCUCGUUAAAAUAUACGAGGAAUAUGCUUAACAUUAUUCGAUCAAUAGUACCCUAGUCCCUAUAAAAGGGGAGAUCCUUCUCCUUCUUCUCUCAAGAAAAUGAGGAUUCAAACAAAAUUGAUGAAACAACAGAAAUCCGAGUGAAUACAUCAAUUUCGUCUUGAAAAACAUGAAGAAAAAAUAGUUUGAAUGUACGAUCUAUAUCGUCCUAGAAUAAAAUGGAUAAUCUCGUCAUUCAUGAUCUUUUUUCACCAAGGUCGAACUUAAAUUUGUACUCGAGAGAUAAAACCACACGUUGAUAAGAGGUGUGCAGAUUCUCAAUCUCAAUAUGACAACGCCAAAGAAGAUUUCUAUUCAUUCUCUCUUAUUUAUUUAUUUUUUAUUAUUAUUAUUUUUUUCGCCACUGUGAACAUAAACGUUUACUAUGGUCAUUCGAUAAUGCAAAACAACCAUGGCGCCCUUUUAUUAAAAUGGUCUUUUGGCUCGACAAGAUUCUUGACAACAUAAAGUUUAUUGCCUACAUUGACGAUGAAGGUGCUCAAAUGAAUUAAUAACUCUUGUCAACUUAUUGUCAAAAAUUAAUAAAUGGUCAAAAUUUGUAAAAAAAAAAAAAAAGUCAUUUAAAAAAAAUUGAUAUUUUAACUGUCAAAUUAAUAUAUUUCAUAUUUUAAAAUCCCAAUUUUAAAAAUGGUGAGCCAAUUCUACAAUUCAUGAAGGUUACAGAGCCCAACUCUACUUUGAGUACUUUCCUAAAAAUUAUUAUAAAAUGAUUAUUCUUCAAUUUUUUAUUCUUUUCUAAUUUUAAUUUUCUCUGUUCAUUAGUCCCACCCCAUUAUUUGAAAUUUUAAUAGUUGAUUUUUUUUUUAAGAUUGUGUAGUUAAAAAAGAAUAUAUAUAUAUAUAUAUGUUUUAAUGAAGAAUAUUUGAUUGAUAAGAAGAGAGAGAAAAAUAAAUUAUAAGUUUAAUGGGGGCUAAACAUGGGCUUAGAACAAAUACCACGUUACUGUUUUUUUUCGGGUCAUCGCAUGUCCCUCGUGCUCAUUUGUCAUAAUAAUAAAAUUAAUUUUGUAGAAAUUAUUACGAUUUUAUGAUGUCAUAAAUUCCAAAAAAGGGGACGCCGGAUCCUCGUGCAGCACGCGUGUGGUCAGUGCUAACAAGCUUAGCAAAAUUACAGCAAUUCCACUAUGUCGUCAAAAAAUGAUACUCGUUUUCCGAAAAUAUAUUUAUAAAUUUAUAUAAAAAUUGAUGAAAUUUGUGGUUGAAAAUUUAUGAAUU
This 1946-nucleotide long non-coding RNA is filed under the name Olea europaea subsp. europaea. Lineage: Eukaryota; Viridiplantae; Streptophyta; Magnoliopsida; Lamiales; Oleaceae. The record is from RNAcentral.